AUCCUACGGGAGGCAGCAGUGGGGAAUAUUGCACAAUGGGGGAAACCCUGAUGCAGCGACGCCGCGUGAGUGAGGAAGUAUUUCGGUAUGUAAAGCUCUAUCAGCAGGGAAGAAAAUGACGGUACCUGACUAAGCAGCCCCGGCUAACUACGUGCCAGCAGCCGCGGUAAUACGUAGGGGGCAAGCGUUAUCCGGAUUUACUGGGUGUAAAGGGAGCGUAGACGGCUAAUCAAGUCAGAAGUGAAUACCCAGGGCUCAACUUUGGGUCUGCUUUU
This 275-nucleotide ribosomal RNA is filed under the name uncultured bacterium. RNAcentral describes it as "partial 16S ribosomal RNA". It matches the Rfam family "Bacterial small subunit ribosomal RNA", at positions 335 to 628 of the family's 1533-position model. The record is from RNAcentral.